UGAAAAAGAAGCCAUGACUUUGAAAGAGCA
This 30-nucleotide non-coding RNA is filed under the name Rattus norvegicus (Norway rat). Lineage: Eukaryota; Metazoa; Chordata; Mammalia; Rodentia; Muridae. The record is from RNAcentral.